GGGGACCUAGGUGAGGACAGGCAUUUCCUGCCCAAAUGUUGCAUUUCCCAAGACCACCCUGGCCCACCACGCCCCCAUCCUGGGCCUAUAAAAACCCAAGACCCUGGCGGGAAGACACAGAAGUGGUUGGGCGUCGUGAGGAACGCAUCGGCGGCAGAACACUCAAGCGGCUGGUUGUUGAGAGCACGCCAGCUGAAGAGCACCCCUGCACACUGGCAGGCCAUCCACAGGUGUCAGAAACUCAGCUCAGCUGGAAGAAACUUGAUGUACCAGGUAUCAGAGUAGCAAGUAAAGCCACAAGCCAAAAAUGAAAGAGAAUCUUUUAAGUGCUUAUCGUGAUGGUGUAAGUAAUUGUCCAAAAGAAACGCCGAUUCCUUCUGUUCCAUUUUUACCUGUGGAUUGUGGAUUGAAAUAACCAUUGGACCAUGAGGAGAGACUCUGAAGAGAGGCUAGUGAUAUGUGAUAUAAUACUCUUUUGUGACGUUGGACCAUGGCAGUGAGCCGCAGCUCCCAGUCAGCAAUGCGAUCCCAAGAAUAAACAACCGAUUCUUGACAGUGUCCUAUGUUGCCAGUCGAUUUUGUUCAACAGUAGGUACAUAUCACCUGUAGACCCAAAACAACUUCAAAUAGCCAUUUCCUUCACUGCUGUGAGCAGAUGUAGACAGUCCAGAGGCCUCAACACUCCUGAGCCCUUAGAAUUGAAGGUGAAGAAAUGAACAACUUUUGAGGAUGACUAAGGGGAAAUUUUUAAUUGUGAUAAGGGAGGAACUAUAUCAAACUACUUUAAAACUAUUCACUUAGCUAGAUAAGGAAAUGAAGGCACAAAGAAGUCAAGUGCUUUUCCAAUGCCAGAGAAGUAAGAGGCACUGCACCCGACUCUGAGGAUGGGAUGGGAACCAGAAAUAAAUCAUCAUCUUGCUCCAUACUUUGUGAUAGAGAAACGAAGAGAGUUGAGACAGAGAUAGUCCAACAGAUCAAUAUGAAAUGCAUUAUCAGAGAAACAGUCUGAAGGAAAUAGCAUUUUAACAAAAGCCUCUGGUAAUUUGGGAGGGGAAAAGACUCUGAGAAAGUGAAAUUUAACUGAGCAACAUUAUCAAAGACCA
Molecule: long non-coding RNA, 1103 nt
Filed under: Homo sapiens (human)
Lineage: Eukaryota; Metazoa; Chordata; Mammalia; Primates; Hominidae
Description: HSALNT0297136
Source: RNAcentral